CCUACGGGUGGCAGCAGUGAGGAAUAUUGGUCAAUGGGCGGGAGCCUGAACCAGCCAAGCCGCGUGAGGGAAGAAGGUACAGCGUAUCGUAAACCUCUUUUGUCAGGGAACAAAGGCCGGGACUAGUCCCCGGAUGAGGGUCCCUGAAGAAAAAGCAUCGGCUAAGUCCGUGCCAGCAGCCGCGGUAAUACGGAUGAUGCGAGCGUUAUCCGGAUUUAUUGGGUUUAACGGGUGCGCAGGCGGCCUGUUAAGUUAGCGGUAAAAGCUAGGGGCGCAACCCCGGCGAGCCGUUGAAACUGGCGGGCUGGAGUUGGAGAGAGGUAUGCGGAAUGCGUGGUGUAGCGGUGAAAUGCAUAGAUAUCACGCAGAACUCCGAUUGCGAAGGCAGCAUACCGGCGCCCAACUGACGCUGAGGCACGAAAGCGUGGGUAUCGAACAGGAUUAGAUACCCCAGUAGUC
This 459-nucleotide ribosomal RNA is filed under the name uncultured bacterium. Its description in RNAcentral is "partial 16S ribosomal RNA". It matches the Rfam family "Bacterial small subunit ribosomal RNA", at positions 338 to 795 of the family's 1533-position model. The record is from RNAcentral.